This 661-nucleotide long non-coding RNA is filed under the name Vitis vinifera (wine grape). RNAcentral describes it as "long non-coding RNA (VVIN_LNC006703)". The record is from RNAcentral. Lineage: Eukaryota; Viridiplantae; Streptophyta; Magnoliopsida; Vitales; Vitaceae.
CGCAUCUCUUGGGCCAAUGAUGUCAAUUCAGGGCAGUAUCCGAUUCCAAGCUCUGUAAGUGAGGUGAGGUUGCCUAUCCAGCGUGGUAUUGUUGCCAAACGAGAGCAGUCCCAAAUUUUGAGAGUUUGGAGAGUGGAAACAUGUUGACGAAGCUCGUCUGGCAGAGACAUCAAAUCAUCUAUGCUUUCAACAGACACAGACUCCAAUGAAGAAGCAGUAGCCAACAUCAACUCCCGUAGUACCACCUCUUUGACUUUACAUAGGUACAGCUUCUCAAGGCAGGGAGAUGGAGGAAAUAGUAAAGAUGUCAGUUGGGGGCAAUUCCUGAUGUCUAAACUAGAAAGAAGAGGAGACGAAUGCAGUUCCAAGGAUGCCAAGUCACCACAAUACCGAAUAUCUAAUUGCGAAAGAAGAGAAGGAGGCAGUCGCAGGGAUGUCAGCUUAGGACAUUGUGUAAUCUUUAACUUGGAAAGAAGAGGAGAUGAAUGCAGUUUCUUUUUCUCUAAUGUGUUUGGACAAAAAUAAUUUCUUUAAAACAAUAAUUUCAUAAAAUAAUUUGAUUCUCACGAUAAUUUCAAAACUAUUAUGUCUUAUUCCUUCGAAUAUAUAAAUUAUAUUAUUUUUAUUUUUAUAAUUAUUUUAAUUUCAAUAAUAUAUAAAU